Long non-coding RNA from Balaenoptera ricei (Rice's whale), 11966 nucleotides. RefSeq lists it as uncharacterized. The record is from RefSeq and is a predicted model, not a curated record. NCBI's taxonomy places the organism in Eukaryota, Metazoa, Chordata, Mammalia, Artiodactyla, Balaenopteridae. The transcript has 10 exons.
CAGCCCUCAGAGAGUAAGGUGUUGAGACCAUCUGGACGGUGUACGUGGCUGAACCCCAUUAAGGCCUCUAUUUAAACAUUUAAGAUUCUGAUGGGCGGGUGCAGAGAACUUGCGGCGCUGGAGACAAGCCUCCUAAGUUUAGGCAGCAUGGAACAGUAUUACCAAGAUGGGAUUUGGAGUGGCAGAGUUCUGGGUUCAAAUUCCAGCAGCACUGCUUCCUGGCUGUGUGACCCUGGGGCAGACCAUCUGGUCAUCUACUUUCUGCCACCCUUUUCCAGCUAUGAUGCCUCAACACUUUGACCGGUGGUCACAUCCUCUCUGAAGACUUCUCCAAGGCACCAUCAUUUGCCGAAGGUCCACACCUAGGAGGUGAGAGCCAUGAGGCUUUCCGCUAAGUGAGGGGACUCUCUCGGGCAGCCCGGAGACAGGAGGCUGGCCCCUGUCGUGGAGACCCGGAGAGCGUGAGUUCCACUUCCCUCUGCGUCGUGAACGGUGAGCCUGCCCUUGGAAUGGAUGUCACCUCCUCUGGAAAGCUCUACGCUGAAUCUCUCUCGCUGUGAGGCUCGUAUAACACUUGUAAGCUGCGCUGUGGUUCAGUUUUUCCCGGGAUACAGUAAGCUCUUUAGGGAGAACACUGUGCCUUAUUGAAUUCUGUGCUCCUCACGGAGCUAGACCGGCCUUCAAGAUGAAGACCAGCGCCCCAUCUGGGGCUAGACCAGCCUUCAAGAUGAAGCUUCCUGGAUCCCAGGCCACCCGGGGGCUGCCAGGAGCCACCGCCCAAGACACGCCGGGUCAGCCAGAGCCGUGCCCCAGGGAGGUAGUCCUUUUUCACAGAGACAAGGAGGAGCGGCAAAGUUCCCUGCAGUUCUGCCCCAUCCCACUGAUCACAAAAAAGCAAAGAAAACCUUCAUCCAGGAGUGCCGCGGACACAGCGGACUGGCCAGCGAACGACAGAAGGUCAAGGCCUGGGCUGGGGGAGGGGUACACAAUGGUGGUGGGCCAAGCCCCAUGCAGGUUAGUUGGGAGGCUGGGGGCCUCUGCUGUGGUCUCGGGAGCAUCCUGAAGUCCCAGUGAUCCAGAGGUCCCUGAAGGAGACGGCAGCAGAGCAGUGACCCCCGCCAAGAGCCCGGUCAUAUUCACGACCACGUGGAGGAGGAAAGCACACAUCCCCCCACUGCCCAGGGGACGCAGGGCAGAGGAAGUGCUGCCAGGCCUGUCACUCCCCUGUACCCACACAGUCAGCUUGCCUCGAGAUUCACAAACUUGAAAAGAGCAAAAGCAAGAGGUCUGGGCACUGAAAAAUCCGGGCCUUGCUAUACAGGUGCACUUCUGUAUGGGGCCGUGCCUGAGGCUGGAAAAGAAGCCUGGGCCUUUCAGGGCGGUGUUGCCCACAGCAACUGGAGACCCCUCCGAAGGUACAGAGCCCACCGUGGACCACAGGAUCAGCAGUCUUCUCCUUGGAGUUGGGCAGGGUGCCACCGCUUAGCCCCUGGGCCCAGUCGCUGCCAUUCACAGAAAAGGGGGCUUGGCUGCAGCAGCCUCUGGCAGGUUCUCCAUGCCAUUGGGUUAAAAGGAGCUUAAAUAUUCCAGUGCCACCUCGUAUACAAAUUUAUACUGUUCCUGAGAGGAUGAGACGCAGAGAGGGAGAAGACAAGACGAGAGAGAGAGAUGAAAAGGAAAGGGAAAAUGCAUUUAGUUUAGAGAGACAAAUUUUGGAGGAAACAUUAUCUAUGUCUAUACUAACAGUCAAUUCAAAAUUGUCCACGCAGAUUCAGAUUCAGUAGAUCUGGAGUGGUGCUCAAGAGUCUACAUUUCUACCAGGCUCCCGUGUGACACUACUGCUGCUGCUGGUCUGUGGACCAGACUUAGGCCCUCACUUUGGGUAAGACCACACUUAGCACAGACUUAAAGACUCAUUAAAGUUCCCUGUGUACGGUAUGUCUCCAUCUCUGCACCAGGUCUUUCUUAACGUCUGGAGCUCUGCCCCCUGUCUCUUCCUCUCCCUUGCUUCACAGUGUCCUAGCCCAAUGCUUUAUAUGAUAAAAAUGAGCAUAAAUUAAUUAGAAUAGGAUUGGACUGAGUCAAAAACAUAAUUCACAUUCUACUAAUCCAGAAUCCCUUCCCCUAAGCCAGAAUUAGUGAUACUUUCCCACGGCAUGGAAAGAAAGUAAAACAACGUAGCGUGUGCCAAGACGAAUUAUCUGGACUCUCUGCAGAAGAGAAGUUGGUGAGGCUGGAGGGAGGAAGCAGGUAACUGUGUGUGCAAAGGGCAGCGACUGCAGGUGCUCAAGAAGCAUCCGGCUGUUGAGUGAUUUUACUCUUUGAGGCUAUUUUCUUCAGGUCAAGGGAACUACGGUCAGCCCCUGGCUACUGGAGAACAGUUCUCGGGACACUCACCAGGGUCUCCACCAUGUUGGACUUGUUGUUACGUAACGUUUUCACGAUGUGGAACACGUCGAUGAUGUUUUGCUGCUGGAUCAUCUCACACACGCUGCAGACGGCACAGAAGGUUCCACUGCGCCCUCCCCCAUUUCUACACAAACACAGAGCAAAAAGGACACCCAACGACCAGAUGUUUCAAGUACAGACAGCUGCCCUCCAUUCACUGGCCAGUGCCUGCAUUUCAGUGUCUGUUUUGGUGUCUCCGCCCUCCAAGGAUGCCAAGGUCUCUGUUGACAGAAGGACACCCCUGUGCUUUCCUACAGCUCAAACUGCUGGUCACCUCGGCAAGGGGAGACACGAAUAAAAGAUGCGGAAUAUUCUGUGGAUGAUGUCCUCAUCGAUGUCUGCGGAGACGAAUUCCACCUGGAUGGGCCCGUAGCACCCCGAGGUCUUCUCAGGCCAGUACUGCAUACAGAGCUGAGAGAAGGUUGGCCAACUCUUGUCCUAUAGGGCUGUUCUAAGGAUAAAGAGAGAACACAUGGGAAGAAAGCCCUUAGCAGAGUGCCAGCAUCCACGACAUUCCAGCGAUUCAUAUCAUUCUUGAACCUCUCAGUGCUCAACAAAAAUAACAACAAUAAUGAUAAUAGCUAACAUAUAAAUUUGAAGAAUUCUUCCUCUUAUCACCCCUCUUAAAUAGCAAAGGUCACUCUCCAUCAUGAUGUCCAGAGGGCUGGGAAAGGUUGCAGGGUCCUUCUAAUCCUACAUCAGAGCCAGCCUUUCACUUGAGUUCCCUAAUCUGUGAGACCACAUCAGCAAUGGCAUGGGUGACAUUCAGCCAGGUGAUGUGUGGGCAGAUGUGGUGUUUGAGCUGCCAAGGAUCAUCAGGGUCUGCCCCCAGGCCAGGACGCUGCACAUAAUCUAGCCAUGGGAAAUGGGAGAGAGAAUGGGGGAAGCCAAUGCUCUGUUCCUGGUGACCCUUUGGGGCUCGGAAAUGAUUCUCGUCAAUAAGAAAUGUCCUCUAAGGUUUAGCUCAAGACUGUCCUGGUGUCCAAGUGCUGGGGUUGUGCCUCAGUGGGUACCACCACUUUGGCCCAUGUAUGCAGCUUAGCAAAAGGUAAUGGGGCUCCUGCUUGAAGUGCUCUGGGCUCAAAUCCCAGCCCUGUCACCCCCUAGCUGAGUGACUUGGCCAAAUCUGUUAGCUUCUCUGGGUUAAGUGAUGAGUGGCUGUGAAUCUGAAUGUGUCUACUUAGCACAGGAGUCUGUAGCUAGUAAGUAAGUACUCCAUAAAUGUAAGCUAUAAUUAUUUGGCAGUGUGGGAGAGGGUCACUCAAAACAAGGUAGAUAAAGUGAAGGGUCUUUUUCCCUCUACUUAGCAGCCCGUAUGAAAAUUUCUCUUUAGGAUAAUAAUACCCAAAGGACUGCCCUUGUGAAAAUUCCUGGUCAGCCAGCCUGAUAGAGCAGUGGGGACAGGUGCCACCUGUGAUGUGGGGACACUGUUCUGCAGGUCGGAGGAGAGAGGCCUAUGGGUUGUUCUUGAGAGGGACCCAGGAGAGGGACCCGGGAGAUGGACCUAGGAGAUGGACCCAGGAGAGGGACCCAGGAGAUGGACCCAGGAGAUGGACCCAGGAGAUGGAAGAGGAAAAGUAGGAGCAUAAGAGAACCAGUGAAAGGGCUGAAGGUGAAUCAGUGUGUCCUGUGAGCCCCCCUCUCCUAAACUCCUAAAUAUUAAGCAAAUUUAUAAUAACAAACACAGACAAUGCUCACUGUGCAUGGGGGUUUCUUGUGGAAGCCGGCGAGGAACUGAGCUUUGCUCCCUUGGUGACUUACGUGGUCUCAGCUCCACUUCUAUGUGAACUGAAGGGCCAGACCAUGAGCACGUAAGCAUCGACAGUUUAUAGGAGAGCCGCCAAGAUGGUGGAGUAGAAAGACCCUGAGCUCACCUCCUCUCAUGAGCACACCAAAAUCACAACUAUCAUCUGCAGAACAACCACUGGUGAAAAAGACUGGAACCUACCACCAGAAGAUCUUCUGCAACUAAAGACAUAAAGAAGGAACCACAAAGAGACAGGUAGGAGGGGCAAACUCACAACAUAGUCAAAUCCCAUACCCCUGGGUGGGCGACCCACAAACUAGAGAAUUACAUUACAGAGGUUCUCUCACAGGAGUGAGAGUUCUGAGCCCCACGUUGGGCUCCCCAGCCUGGGGGUCUGGUACUGGGAAGAUGAUCCCCCAGAGCAUUUGGCUUUGAAGGCCAGUGGGGCUUGAUUUCAGGAGCCCCACAGGACUGGGGGAAAUAGAGACUUCACUCUUAAAGGGUGCACACAAAAUCUCACACUCACUGGGACCCAGGGCAAAAGCAGUAAUUUGAUAGGAGCCUGGGCCAGAGCUACCUGCUGGUCUUGGAGAGCCUCCCGGAGAGGUGGGCAUGGCUGUGGCUCACCCUGGGGACAUAGACACUGGUGGCAGUCAUAUUGGGGAACAUUCUACUGUGUGAACACUGCUGCCGGUGGCUGCCAUCCUGGCUCAUCAGCCCCACCCACAAGCCUAUAGGUGCGAGUGCUGGGGUGCCUCAGGCUAAGUAACUAACUGGGCAAGGACACAGCCCCACCCAGCAGCAGAAGACUUCCUGAACCCUCUAGAAAAGCCCCUAGACAUGGCCCUGCCCACCAGAGGACCAAGACCCAACUCCACCUCCCCGUGGGCAGGCAUAGGCCCUUCCCUUCAGGAAGCCCACAUUAGCCUCUAGACCAGCCUCACCCACCAGGGGGCAAACACCAGAUGCAAGAAAACUAUGAUCCCACAGCCUGCAGACCCAGCCCACCCACAAUAGGCAAGAACCUACCCUGGGACCAGCUGGGCCCUGUCCACUAGCAGGCCAACGCAAGCUUUGAGAUACCCUAGACCCCAUACCCAACUGUGUCAGGAAUUGCCCCCCUCCAACCUGAAAUGAGCUCAGGGAUCCCUGGGCCCUGCAGCCAGACUCCAGGAACUGGCUCUGCUUGCCUGGCACCAACCCCUGAACCUGGCUUUACCUGCCAGGGGAUCGGCAACAGCCCAGGAGUCUUCGGGACCCUGACUCCGGCCACCAGUGAGCCAGCACUAGCCCUGGGACACCCCUAGGGUUCUGCAGCCAGUGCCCUGUGACCAGGCCACACUAACUAGCAGCCAGCAGCAUCUGUACAAGGCAGAGCUUGGCAACCAACUGGGCCAGGGGCCGACCAAGCCUACCAGACUGCCCACAUAGGCCACCACAACAGAAGGACCCAUGCAGCCCUCUUAGGGGGCACCCCAAGAGCAUAUACCUUGGGUGAUGAGAGGGGAGUGCACUGCUGGGAUGCAAAGGACGACAUCUACAGAAGGCCACUUACGCAAGGUUGAGAAACGUAACUAACCUACCACAUAUAUAAAAAUACAAAUAGCAACUUAGACAAAAUGGGGUGGCAGAGGAACAUGUUCCAGACGAAGAAACAAGAUAAAACCCCAUAAGAAGAAUUAAGUGAAGUGGAGAUAGGCAAUAUACCCGAGAAACAGUUCAGAGUAAUGAUCAUAAAGAUGAUCAAAGAACGCCUCAGAAGAAGAAUGGAUGUACAGAGGGAGAAGUUAGAAGUUUUAAACAAAGAGAAGAGAUAAAGAACAACUGAACAGAGAUGAAGAAUACAAAAAAUGAAAUGAAAAAUACACUAGAAGGAAUCAAUAGUAGACUAAAUGAUAUGGAGGAACGGAUCAGUGAGCUGGAAGACAGAGUAAUGGAAAUCACUGCCACUGAACAGAAGAAAUAAUGAAAAGAAAUGAGGACAGUUUAAGAGACCUCUGGGACAAUAUGUAGAGCACUAAUAUUCACAUUAUAGGGGUCUCAGAAGGAGAAGAGAAAGGACCUGAGAAAAUAUUUGAAGACAUAAUAGCUAAAAACUUCCCUAACCACGGAAAGGAAACAAUCACCCAAGUCCAGGAAGUGCAGAAAGUCCCAUACAGGAUUAACCCAAAGAGGAACACACCAAGACACAUUGUAAUUAAAGUGACAAAAAGAUAGAGAAUAUUAAAAGCAGCAAGGGAAAAGCAAGAAAUAACAUACAAGGGCACUCCCAUAAGGCUAUCAGCUGAUUUUUCAGCAGAAACUCUGCAGGCCAGAAGGCAUGAUAUAUUUAAAGUGAUGAAAGGGGCAUGAUAUAUUUAAAGUGAUGAAAGGGGAAAAUCUACAACCAAGAAUACUUUACCCAGCAAGGCUCCCAUUCAGAUUUGAUAGAGAAAUCCAAAGCUUUACAGAUAAGCAAAAGCUAAAAGAGUUCAGCACCAUCAAACCAGCUUUGCAACAAAUGUUAAAUGAUCUCUAGGCAAAAAAGAAAAGGCCACAACUAGAAACAAGGAAAUUACAAAAUGAAAAAGCUCACCAGUGAAGGCAAACAUACAGCAGAGGUAGGAAAUCACCCACACACAAAGCUAGUAGGGAGGUUAAAAGAUAAAAGUAGUAAAAUCAUCUAUAUCCACAAUAAGCAGUUAAGGGAUACACAAAACAAUUAGAUAAAAUAUGAUAUCAAAAACAGUAAUCAUGAGGGGAGGAGAGUACAAAUGUAGGGUUUUAAAAAUGCAUUUGAAAUUAAGAGGUCAUCAACUUAAAAUAAUCACAUCUAUAUAUAAAGACUGCUAUACAAAAACGUCAUGGUAACUGUAAACCAAAAAUCUAUAAUAGAUAGAUAUACACACAAAAAAGAAAAUCCAAACAUAACACUGAAGAUAGUCAUCAAAUCACAAGAGAACAAAAGAAGAAAGGGGAAAAAACCAAAUCCAAAACAAUUAACAAAACAGCAAUAAGAACAUACAUAUCAACAAUUACCUUAAAUGUAAAUGGACUAAAUGCUCCAACCAAAAGACACAGAGUGGCUAAAUGGAUACAAAAACAAGACCUGUAUAUAUGCUUCCUACAAGAGACUCACUUCAGCUCUAGAGACACAUACAGACUAAAAGUGAGGAGAUGGAAAAAGGUAUUCCAUGCAAAUGGAAAUCAAAAGAAAGUCAGAGUAGCAAUACUUACAUCAGACAAAGUAGACUUUAAAAUAAAGACUGUUACAAGAUACAAAGAAGGGCACUACAUAAUGAUCAAGGGAUCAAUCCAAGAAGAAGAUACAACAAUUGUAAAUAUAUAUGCAUCCAACAUAGGGGCACCUAAAUAUAUAAGACAAAUAUUAACAGACAUGAAAGGAGAAAUCGACAGUAACACAAUAAUUGUAGGGGACUUUAACAUCCUACUUAUAUCAAUGGACAGAUGAUCCAGACAGAAAAUCAGUAAGGAAACACAGGCCUUAAAUGACACAUUAGACCAAAUGAACUUAACUGAUAUAUAAAGAGCAUUCCAUCCAAAAGCAGCGGAAUACACAUUCUUUUCAAGUGCACAUGGAACAUUCUUCUGGAUAGAUCACAUGCUAGGCCACAAAACAAACCUUGGUAAAUUUCAGAAAGUUGAAAUCAUAUCAAGCAUCUUUUCCGACCACAACACUAUGAAACUAGAAAUCAACUACAAGAAAAAACCUGCAAAAAAAAACAUGUGGAGGCUAACCAGUAUGCUACUAAACAACCAAUGGAUCACUGCACAAAUCAAAGAGGAAAUCAAAAAAUACCUAGAGACAAUGAAAACGAAAACAUGACGAUCCAAAACCUAUGGGAUGUAGCAAAAGCAAUGUUAAGAGGGAGGUUUAUAGUGAUACAAACUUACCACAGGAAACAAGAAACAUCUCAAACAACCUAACCUUACAUCUAAAGCAACUAGGGAAAGAAGAACAAGAAAACCCCCAAAGUUAGUAGAAGGAAAGAAAGAAGGAUCAGAGCAGAAAUAGAGACUAAAAAAAAAUAGAAAAGAUCAAUGAAAUUAAAAGCUGGUUCUUUGAAAAGAAACAAAAUUGACAAACCUUUAGCCAGAUUCAUCAAGUAGAAAAGGGAGAGGGCCCAAAUCAAUAAAAUCAGAAAUGAAAAAGAAGUUACAACUGACACCACAGAAAUACAAAUGAUUGUAAACGACUACUAUGAACUACAUGCCGAUAAAAUGGACAACUUAGAAGAAAUGGCCAAAUUAUUAGAAAGAUACAAUCUCCCAAGAUCGAACUAAGAACAAGAAAAUAUGAACAGACCAAUUACCAGUAAUGAAAUUGAAUCAGUAGUUAAAAAACUCCCAACAAACAAAAGUCUAGGACCAGAUGGCUUCACAGGUGAAUUUUUUACCAAACAUUUAGAGAAGAGUUAACACCUAUACUUCUGAAACUAUUCCAAAAAACUGCAGAGGAAGGAACAUUCCCAAAUUCAUUCUAUGAGGCCAGCACCCUCCUGAUACCAAAACCAGACAAAGAUAUCACACACACACACACACACACACACACACACACACACACUACAGGCCAAUAUCACUGAUGAACCUAGAUGCAAAAAUCCUCAACAAAAUACUAGCAAACCGAAUCCAAUAAUACAUUAAAAGGAUCAUACACCAUGAUCAAAUGGGAUUUAUCCCAGGAAUGGAAGGAUUUUUAAUAUCUGCGAAUCAAUGUGAUACACCACACUAACAAAUUGAAGAAGAAAAACUGUAUGAUGACCUCAAUACAUGCAGAAAAGCUUCUGAUAAAAUUCAACAUCCAUUUAUGAUAAAAACUCUCUACGAUACUAUGAUAAAAAGUGGGCAGAGAGGGAACAUACCUCAACAUAAUAAAGGCCAUAUGUGGCAAACCCACAGCUAACAUCACACUCAAUGGUGAAAAGCUGAAAGCAUUUCCUUUAAGAUCAGGAACAAAACAAGGAUGUCCACUCUUGCCACUCUUAUUCAGCAUAGUUUUGGAAGUCCUAGCCACAGCAAUCAGAGAAGAAAAGGAAAUAAAAGGAAUCAAAAUUGGAAAGGAAGAAGUAAAACUGUCACUGUUUGCAGAUGGCAUGAUACUAUACAUAGAAAAUCCUAAAGACGCCACCAGAAAACAACUAGAGCUCAUCAAUGAAUUCAGUAAAGUUGCAGGAUACAAAAUUAAUAUACAGAAAUCUGUUGCAUUUCUAUAAACUAACAACAAAUUAUCAGAAAGAGAAAUUAAGAAAACAAUCCCAUGUACCAUUGCAUCAAAAAGAAUAAAAUAACUAGGAAUAAACCUACCUAAGGAGGCAAAAGACCUGUACUCCAAAAACUAUAAGACACUGAUGAAACAAACUGAAGAUGACACAAAGAGAUGGAAAGAUAUACUGUGUUCUUGGAUUGGAGGAAUAAAUAUUGUUAAAAUGACCAUAAUAUCCAAGGCAAUCUACAGACUCAAUGCACUCUCUAGCAAAAUACCAAUGGCAUUUUUCACAGAACUAGAACAAAUAAUUUAAAAAUUUGUAUGGAAACAUAAAAGACCCUGAAGAGCCAAAACAAUCUUGAGAAAGAAGAAUGGAGCUGGAGGAAUCAUGCUCCCUGACUUCAGACUCUACUACAGUGCUACAGUAAUCAAAACAGUAUGGUACUGGCAUAAAAACAGAACCAUAGAUCAAUGGAACAGGAUAGAAAGCCCAGAAAUAAACCCAUGCACUUAUGGUCAAUUAAUCUACAACAAAGGAGGCAAGAAUAUACAAUGCAGAAAAGACAGUCUCUUCAAUAAGUAGUGCUGGGAAAACUGAACAGCACAUGUAAAAGAAUGAAAUUAGAGCAUUCUCUAACACCAUACACAAAAAUAAACUCAAAAUGGAUUGAAGAUCUAAAUGUAAGACCAGGUACUAUAAAACUCCUGGAGGAAAACAUAGGCAGAACACUCUUUGAUAUAAGUCACAGCAAUAUUUUUUUGGAUCCAUCUCCUAAAGUAAAGGAAAUAAAAGCAAAAAUAAAUAAAUGGGACCUAAUUAAACUUAAAAGCUUUUGCACAACAAAGGAAACCACCGACAAAAUGAAAAGACAACCUACUGAAUGGGAGAAUAUCAUUGCAAAUGAUAUGACUAAUAAGGGAUUAAUAUCCAACAUAUAUAAACAGCUCAUACAACUCAAAUUUUUUAAUUCUGCUGAUUGAAAAAUUCUGCUGAAUAGACAUUUUUCCAAAGAGGAAAUGCAGAUGCCCAAUAAGCAUAUGAAAAGAUUCUCAACAUAGCUAAUCAUCAGGGAAAUGCAAAUCAAAACCACAAGGAGAUAUCACCUCAUACCUGUCAGAAUGGCCAUCAUCAAAAAGAACACAAAUAAUAAAUAUUGGCAAGGAUGUGGAGAAAAGGGAACCCUUGUACACUGUUGGUGGGAAUGUAAAUUGGUGCUGCCACUGUGGAAAACAGUAUGGAGGUUUCUCAAAAAAUUAAAAAUAGAACUACCAUAUGACCCAGCAAUUCUACUCCUGAGUAUAUAUCCAAAAAAAACCCCAAAGCACUAAUUCAAAAAGAUACUUGCACCCCAAUGUUCAUAGCAGCAUUAUUUACAAUUGUCAAGAUAUGAAAGCAACCUAGGUGACCAUCAACAGAUGAAUGGAUAAAGAAAAUGUUGUAUAUAUACACAAUGGAAUACUACUCAGUUAUGAAAAAGAAUGAAAUUUUGCCUUUGGAGCAACAUGGCUGGACUUGGAGGGCAUUGUACUAAAUGAAAUAAGUCAGACAAGACAAAUAUUGUAUGAUAUCACUUACAUAUGGAAUCUAAAAAACACAAUAAACUAGUGAAUAUAACAAAAAAGAAGCAGACAUAUAUAGAGAACAAACUACUGGUUACCAGUGGAGGGGGAGGGGUAAUCAAAGGGUGGGGGAGUGGCAGGUACAAACUAUUGGGUGUAAGAUAGGCUCCAGGAUGUACUGUACAACACAGGGAAUCUAGCCAAUAUUUUAUAAUAACUGUAAAUGGAAAGUAACCUUUAAAAAUUAUAUUAAAAAUUUAAAAAUUUAAAAUAAAUUAAAAAAGAGAAACAAAAGGUUAUAGAAAUCUUGGGGAGAGGAGUUUAUGGUUUCUUAAGGCCCUGGAAAUAGGGGGUUCAAGGAAGUCCACUUGGCGGUCUAAAACCACAAGGACCCAGCUGACCUGGGGCCACACAUACACUCAAUGUAACAUUGUUACUUUCUUCCUUAGAUGGGAAACUUUUGCAGUAGUUGUCUCCAUGAUAGAUUCCAAUCCUUUAGCCUAUAGCCCAGCCUUUUCCUACCUUAUAUCCUAGUGCUGUGCUUCUCCUCCCUUUCUUACCCGUCCGUCUAGGAGGGGUGGUGUUUCCUGCCCAUAGGGAGGGCCUCGCCACUGCAGAUGCACACGGCCGGGCUGAUGACCACACCUGGGGGGCCGGGGAGGGAAGCCACUGCAGCUGCUGCUGCUGAUUUAGAAACGGCCAUGCUUCUCCUGGAAAAGCAGAGGGGCUUUUGCUAUUUAUUGUCAGAACAAGUUAAACCAAGCGGAAGUCAUGAAGCCUGUGUGGACAGCCCUGCAACAGCUGCCGUGCGUUAUUCCACCUAGUGAUCUCCGCUGCUGCUUGGGCCACAGAAAGAUGUCCUUCGGGGAUGCACGUUCACACAUGAAAUCUAACAAACACCAAGGCUGCCUCCCUGUUAGACAUCAUUUUCUUGCUGAUGGAAUCAGAAAGCUUGUUAGUCGCUGAAAUAAACACGCUCUGAUGAGUUAAAUGAAAACUAGCAUA